RNAcentral lists this ribosomal RNA (254 nucleotides) under uncultured bacterium. RNAcentral's name for it is "partial 16S ribosomal RNA". It matches the Rfam family "Bacterial small subunit ribosomal RNA", at positions 524 to 776 of the family's 1533-position model. The record is from RNAcentral.
UACGUAGGGGGCAAGCGUUGUCCGGAUUUAUUGGGCGUAAAGAGCUCGUAGGCGGCUCAGUAAGUCAGGUGUGAAAACUCCAGGCUCAACCUGGAGACGCCACCUGAUACUGCUGUGGCUAGAGUCCGGUAGGGGAGCAUGGAAUUCCUGGUGUAGCGGUGAAAUGCGCAGAUAUCAGGAGGAACACCAGUGGCGAAGGCGGUGCUCUGGGCCGGAACUGACGCUGAGGAGCGAAAGCGUGGGGAGCGAACAGG